GACGAGGGGUCCAAGCGUUGUUCGGAAUCAUUGGGCGUAAAGCGGGUGUAGGCGGCUCUAUAAGUCAGAAGUGAAAGCCCCGAGCUUAACUUGGGAAGUGCUUUUGAUACUGCAGAGCUUGAAUGUGGGAGAGGUUAGUGGAAUUCCUGGUGUAGUGGUGAAAUACGUAGAUAUCAGGAGGAACACCGGUGGCGAAGGCGGCUAACUGGCCCAACAUUGACGCUGAGAUCCGAAAGCAUGGGGAUCAAACAGG
Molecule: ribosomal RNA, 253 nt
Filed under: uncultured bacterium
Lineage: Bacteria
Description: partial 16S ribosomal RNA
Rfam family: Bacterial small subunit ribosomal RNA
Source: RNAcentral